RNAcentral lists this ribosomal RNA (451 nucleotides) under uncultured bacterium. RNAcentral's name for it is "partial 16S ribosomal RNA". It matches the Rfam family "Bacterial small subunit ribosomal RNA", at positions 29 to 523 of the family's 1533-position model. The record is from RNAcentral.
AACGAACGCUGGCGGCAGGCUUAACACAUGCAAGUCGAACGGGUGUAGCAAUACAUCAGUGGCAGACGGGUGAGUAACACGUGGGAACCUUCCUAGGGGUACGGAACAACUCAGGGAAACUUGAGCUAAUACCGUAUACGUCCGUGAGGAGAAAGAUUUAUCGCCCUUAGACGGGCCCGCGUCGGAUUAGCUAGUUGGUGGGGUAACGGCCUACCAAGGCGACGAUCCGUAGCUGAUCUUAGAGGAUGAUCAGCCACACUGGGACUGAGACACGGCCCAGACUCCUACGGGAGGCAGCAGUGGGGAAUCUUGGACAAUGGGCGCAAGCCUGAUCCAGCCAUGCCGCGUGAGUGAAGAAGGUCUUCGGACUGUAAAGCUCUUUUGCCAGGGACGAUAAUGACGGUACCUGGAGAAUAAGCCCCGGCAAACUUCGUGCCAGCAGCCGCCGUAA